This 1071-nucleotide long non-coding RNA is filed under the name Equus caballus (horse). RNAcentral describes it as "lncRNA (ENSECAG00000056424.1)". Lineage: Eukaryota; Metazoa; Chordata; Mammalia; Perissodactyla; Equidae. The record is from RNAcentral.
AAUGGAUCAAAAACCUUCAUUUAAAAGCCUAACCUAUAGAACUCUAGAAGAAAAUAGGGGUAAGUCCUCAUAACUUUAGAUUUGGCAAUGGUUUCUUAAAUAUGGCACCAACAGCACAGGCAACAAAAGAAGAAAUAGAUAAGUUGCAAUUCAUCAAAAUUAAAAACUUUCAUGAAUCAAAAGACUAUUUAUCAAAAGAGUGAAAAGACAACCCACGAAAUAGAUGAAAAUAUUUGCAAAUCCUAUAUCUGAUGAGGAUUUAAUAUCUAGAAUAUACAAAGGAUUUCUACAACUCAAAACAAAAAAAAAUCACACAAUUAAAAAUGAGCAAUGGACUUGAUAGAUAUUUCUCCAAAGAAGAUAUGCAAAUGGCCAAUAAGCACAUGAAAAAAAUGCUGAACAUCAUUAGUCAUUAGAGAAAUGCAAAUCAAAACCACAAUGAGAUCCUACUUCACACCCACUAAGAUGGCCAUAAUAAAAAGCACAGAAAAUAAUAAGUGUUGGCAAGGAUGUGAAGAUAUUGGAACCCUUGUGCAUUGCUGGUGGGAAUGUAUAAAAGUGCAGCUGCUGUAGGAAACAGUUUGUUGAUUCCUAAAAAAGUUCAACACAAAUUUACCAUAUGACCCAGCAAUACCACUCCUAGAUAUAUACUCCAAAGAGCUGAAAACAGGAACUCAAACAGGGACCGUGGCCAGCCUGUGGAACCGUAGAGGACCAAGAGUCUGCUGCAGAGGAGGAUGUCUCCGUGGGCUAGAGGUUUGGGGGCUAGGAACUGAUUGCUGCACUCACCUCCCAGCUCACCUGUGACCACCCAGCUGGAGACAACAGACUGCCACCCUGCUGUGUUCACUGAGACAGAAGACCUACCUGCUGUUUCCAUCAAUCGGCUGUGCCAACAGAGUAGUCUCGCGACUAUUGUAAAAGGGACAGUCCAAUCAUAUGUGAAACAUCCUCUUUGAGGGUAUAUAAUGACCCUGUAUACCCCCCCACCUCUUUGGAGUGCUCUGUUCCUUUGUGGAAAGACUCUCCCGGGUUAUAAUCCUCAGAUUUAAGCUCAGAAUAAACUCACCC